CUCCUGCACCCCGCUUACUCCAUCUUCCAUAGAGCAGGCGGGACACACGGAGGAAGGGAGGGAGGGAGCUGCUGCCUUAGGCAGCAGCUGCAGCUGUGGUCCGGUCUCAGCUUGCUGAUCUAAUUGACAAGGUAGUGUACUUCUGACCCCACUCUUCAUACUUAAAGGGGAAAUGUGCAUCUCUUUCUCUCAAACACACACAGGGUGUGUGUCUCUGUCUGCCCUCCCUUCUUUCCUGCUGCCUUGUAGAGUGUGAGAGUUAAUUCUUGAGGGCUCAGCCAAUUGCUAGUUCAUCGUUUAGCAGUAAGGCAUUCCCUGGGAAAUAUCCCAGCUCCUGGGAAGCAGCAACCCUAGCUCCAUGUGCUGCCUCCGCUCCACCCCAAGCCCCGGUUCUGCCACUCCGAUUGGCUGAGAACCGCAGCCAGUGGGAGCUGCGGGGAUGGUGCCUGCAGGAAGAGGCAGCACAUGGAGGUAGGAGCUGCGGGAGGGGAGUUGCUGUUGCCCUUCGUGGAGCCCUCUCCCAAAGUAAGCAUCGCCCUGCAACCGAGGCUGGAGCCCCCCCAUACCCAGGCUCUCCUGGCGAGCCUUACCCCCCUGCACUCAGAACCUCCCAAUGCGUCCCACUCCCCCGGCACCUGGACCACCCAGAUGAGCCACGCUCACCUGGAUUCCCACCCCACCAAGCCCCAACCAGUUGCACCUGGAUCCCCACUCCACUGAGUCCCACGCCCCCAGCAUCUUGACCCCCCACUGAGCCUCCCACACCCAGACCCCGCUGCUGAGCUCUGUCCCCUCCCAUGCUGAGCCCCAACCACCUUCACCUGGACCCCCCUGCAGAGUCCCAUUGCUGUUGCACCCAAAACCUCCCAACAAGUCCCUGUGCAUUCAGAUCCCCCCACUAAGGCGCCCGCGCCCAGAUUGCCCCACAUGGAACUCUCCUAACCCAUCCCUGGAUCCCCCCACACUCAGCCUUUCCAAACUUAGAUCCUGCCUUGCUGAGCCUGCCUGCUCACACCUGGUGCACCUGGCAUAGAGGGGCAGGGCCCUGGGGUAUUUCUGAGGCAGGCCUGGGUGCAGAGUCCAUGUCCCAGGGGGAAGCUACAGAGUGAUCUCCCACCUCUGUGCAGCCAGUGGCCUGUGCUCCACAAUGCCAUGCUGGAGCCUCCACAUUUAUUUCACAAAUAAAAUUUGCAGAAUUUUAAAAUAUUGUGCACAGAAUUUUAUUUUUUUUGGCACAUCAUGCCCUCAAGAAUAGACCCGAGACUGCUCCAGCAGCGACUGGUGCACCUGUCCCAGGGGCUGCCCAAGCUGCUCAGGUGGCCCCUGGGCCAGGUGCACCAGCCACUGCAGAAGUCACAGAGGUCAUGGAAAACCAUGGAAUCUGUGACAAAAAUGGAGCCUUAAUUAUGAUACAUUCUUGAAUUACAUGAUCACAUACUGUUUUUUUUUUCCACAAGACCCCCUCCCUUAUUCAUGGGAUGGAUAGUGCUCAUUGACUGUAUGGACCCGUGCUUGCUUUAUGCACACCAUUGGAAACUUGCUCUGAAAACAGAAUUAUUAAUUUCCUCAAACUUUUCUAUGGAGGUCAUUAUAAUUGUAUCUGAGUGCCACGCAAACAUUAAUGGAUUAUUUUCACAACUCCACCAAGUCCCCUCCAUCCCCUGACCAGCUCCAAAUCCCAGUAGCGUUCUCUUCACUGCUCGGUCACCCAAUCUGUUCCCCUCCCCUCCGCCCCCUUCUUCCACACUGCUUGGGUACUAGCUAGGGGAGAAUUGUCUGUCCUGUGCUUUCAUUCUUCCUUCUCUCAGCUCUACUGGUACAGUGGCCCAUAGCAAUAAUUGAAGGGAAAGUCCCACUCAGCCCCUGCAUCCCUGGGAUGGAGCGUUCCCAAUGCAGUCAGACUCUUCCCUGCAGAACUUUAAUAAGUCUCUACUAAUCACAUGCAAACUGCAGGGGGUUUUUUACAGCCAAAUUUGGGUGUUUUUUGCGCAGAACAGGAAAAGGACAUCCCUGGCAUAAAGCAACCCUCCCUGAAAAAUUUCAAGCCCUUGCUCCAAAGCAUGGAGGUGUCAUGUAUUUGCCCCGGGGUGGUCCACCAAGGGCACCCGCUUUAGCUUUCUGCUUCCUAACAGUGGCUCACUCCCACCUGACCAGGGAUUUCAAGGUUACAAGUUCAUCUGUCUUAAAUCUAGAACCAGAACAGAACCUGGGCAGAUGAGAAAUUUCUCUGUACAGUUCAGGCCUUUGAUCUUGGCAUUGGCGCAAUAAGAAAUCAGCGGACAAUAACUCUCUCCUCAGGGCGUAGCUUCAAAAGGCUGGGCUUUUGCAUAACAAGAGUUGGGGAAUUUGCAUUAACAGCUCCCUAAGUGGAUUUCCUGGUGUGUGACACUUAGGGUGUGUCUACACUACAAUGUGAGCUUGGGCUGAAACUCAGUCUCAAGCUCAAACCCUGCUUCCAUCUAUGCAGAAAUCUAUCUGUCUCAAGUCAGUAAGCCCGCUGGACUCGGGUCAUAGGACCUGGCAAGGGGAGUGGAUCCGAUCCCAAGUCCCUAUGGGACUCCAGUCAUUCAGGUCUACUGUGCAUCGUUUUGCAGUGUGGACACAGCUGCGGCCCAGGUCCCCAGACUAGUGUUCUGACAGUCUGCCAGUGCUGUCCCACAAUCCCAUGGGCCAGCGUAUCUAUCCUUUCCAUCUCAAGACUAGUCAAUUGACUCCCAGGAAACAACAAGCAACUUCCUGAUUCAAGUGUGGCUGUUUGGCAUUUAACCCUUCUAUUUGAGCUGCAAGCUUAGAGUAAAAUUUUACUAUCUUGUAUUAGCUAUGGCCACCAACAAGACGUCCUUUACCAAGAUCGCUGCUACCAAGUCAUGGGACCACAGUCCAUUCUGGCCUCUUCACCUCAGCAGCUCAGCCACACUGCACCAGGAGCUUCGGGUUUUGAACUGUCACAGACUAAGUGCUCAGUGGUGAGUUUAUGGUGGACAUCCUUGACAGAGGCAACAAACAGGUGCAGUAUCAAAGGGAAAAAGAUUCAUGGCAAGUGGAAAAGCAUAGACAGGCAGCAGAGCACAAGAAGAGACUUGCAACACGGUUUCUGGAGCAGGAAUGUUGCCUAAGGAACAAAGAUGGAGCACAACAGAAAGACCUGUUUGAGAGACUGCUUACGCUAAUGGCCACAGGAUUUCAGGCUCCUGCUCUACUGACACCAUGUCCUGAGUCUUCUCCAUGGUACCAUGUCCUGCAGACCAAGAAUACAUUGGACAAUACCACAGUUGGGUGGCCUGUGCAACUGGGACUGAAUGCUAACUGGACAGGGCAAAUGUACCCCCCUGCAGCGGCACCAAAUGUGUGCUAAAUGUGCUAGAAAGGGAAAGAGAAUAGGGGCCAGCAGACAUGCAAAAGUAGAGAAUUUGUUCGCUUGCAUUGGUUUCUCUGUUUUGCACUGUUCAGUGUUUGUUAUGCACUUUAUUACUGGUUUUGGUGUUGGUUUAUUACUGGAGUUUUGGCAUCACGAUGGCAGCUGGCUUGCCAAACAAUGCUUGAAUAUUGUUUUUCAUAAUAAGGGUAUGUUCACAAAUAAAGGCUUUUAUUUUAUUUAAAAA
Molecule: long non-coding RNA, 3602 nt
Organism: Chelonia mydas (Green sea turtle)
Lineage: Eukaryota; Metazoa; Chordata; Testudines; Cheloniidae
Exons: 2
Source: RefSeq, a predicted model, not a curated record